RNAcentral lists this long non-coding RNA (1214 nucleotides) under Lathyrus oleraceus (garden pea). RNAcentral's name for it is "Pisum sativum (pea) long non-coding RNA (PSAT_LNC019657)". The record is from RNAcentral. Lineage: Eukaryota; Viridiplantae; Streptophyta; Magnoliopsida; Fabales; Fabaceae.
AACCACAUACAUGCACAUCCAAAUAGUAAUGUAACUCUUCGUCAUUUUCCUUGCGAAAAUCAACUCCACUCACCUUAUCUUCCUUCCUACACCUACCUCCCACAAACCCUCUUCUUCCGACCUUCUAUUCACCAUACAACCUUUAACAACUCACUGCAUCUCAUAACCUACAACCCACGUAAGCUCACAUUCACCACCUUACAUCUUCAUUUACUACUUAAAAUCUUCCCUUAGCCUCACUUAUGAAUUGCUACCGUUCACUCAAACCAACCUCACGACUAACAACAGCUCACACUUCGUGAACAAGUUUACCAUACAACAACACCAUAUUCAUAUACUCCCUUCAUCCAAACUGACAAACACAUCCACCUCAAUAGUACCAAAACGAAAUUCACCAUACAAACACCACUUGUUUGGUCACAGGAACACACUUUCAUUGGCCACCCUCUAACAAACUCACCUCUAACAAUCCAAGCUCAAUAACAUCAUCACACCUCUUUCACCUUCAAAUGCAAACGAAUCAGACCAACUCCAUGGCUCCAUUCAACAACAAGUUUACUCCACUGUAACUCUAAUUGAACAGUCAACUAUGUUCACACUCACAAACCCGACAAUACAAGAGAAAAGCAACAACCAUAGUCAACUCGGUAACGAUUUGAAGUUUGAGUUGGUUGAUCAAGAUACCACUCUUUUACUUUCCCAAUAAAUGAAUGAGGAAACAAUCUCAUGAACACUUGUUCUUAUUUUGCUUGUGGAGCUCCAAGUGUACCAGAAAUCUCAUAGAACUUGGUAAGGUGAGUAUAUGGAUCUUCAUGGUCAAGCCUGGUAAAAGGAUUUGCAUACAAGAUUUGUAGUAAUUCGGUCUUCAUUUCUGGAUUUCUUGUAUAUUGCAGGUAUGAUAAUAUGAGCAUUUAUUAUUGGGCCGUUGACAUAAGUCCCUCUUAUGACUACUUGUUUCGUCAUAGCUUCUUCACCGAGAGGAGUUGUUGAAGAAGUAGAAGUUGAAGUUCCUUCACGUUGGUUUCUUUGUUUGGCUAACUACUUUCUCUUUCUAGUUUUACUGUUGAGUUUCGAUGUUGUUCUUUCAAUCUCAAGAUCAAAAAUAAGUUGAUCUUUUAGUAACUUUCCUCGCAUAAACAGAGUUCUGAAACACUAACCACACAAAUUAAAAAACACGAGGGAUGAUAAAUAGAAUAGUUUAUAAUAGUAUAAAG